GGAACUUCCUCCUUUUUUAAACCCUUUCCUCUCUCUCUCUCUCUCUCUCUCUCUCGGGCAAAGUCGUCGCAGUCUUCGUCGUCUUCGUCGCUGCCGAAGCUUCCUCGAAACCUCGCCUGAUCCGCCAUCAAUUUCAGGUUCUGUUGGGCAAAGUUGUCGCAGUCUUCGCCGUCUUCGUCGGUGUCGCUGCCGAAGCUUCCUUGAAACCUCGCCUGAUCCGCCAUCAAUUUCAGGUUCUGUUGGGCAAAGUCAUCGCAGUCUUCAUCGUCUUCGUCGGUGUCGCUGCCGAAGCGCCAUCAAAUUCAGGUUCUGUGUCAACAGGGAGGGCUAGACUUACUAUUACAUAAGGUUGACUUAAAGCAAAAGAAUAAAGGUAAUAUAAAGU
RNAcentral lists this long non-coding RNA (385 nucleotides) under Eucalyptus grandis. RNAcentral's name for it is "long non-coding RNA (EGRA_LNC000480)". The record is from RNAcentral. Lineage: Eukaryota; Viridiplantae; Streptophyta; Magnoliopsida; Myrtales; Myrtaceae.